This is a long non-coding RNA of Eriocheir sinensis (Chinese mitten crab), 902 nucleotides long. RefSeq lists it as uncharacterized. The record is from RefSeq and is a predicted model, not a curated record. The transcript is spliced from 2 exons. NCBI's taxonomy places the organism in Eukaryota, Metazoa, Arthropoda, Malacostraca, Decapoda, Varunidae.
CUUCAUAUAAACAUUUUUUUGGGACUUGAUCAAAACACUCAUCGUAUCUAAAAACAUACCCCCUCUCUGGGUCACGUUAGGAAGUGAAGGGAUGUUAUUCCUUGUGGUUUGGCAUUUUGUUUAUUUUCUUAGAUAAUGUUUCUAUAAAUACAAAGCCUCUGACUUGUUUGCCGGGAGUUACUCGAUAAACAGCCUCACACUAAAAAUAAAAAAGUGGGUGGCAGUAGAAGAAGUCUGAAGAACUGGUUUGAUGAUGAAGAUGAAGGAAAGGCUAAUAGCUAAGUUUACCAUUGCCUUGGACUGAAUUAUCGUUUUCUUUGAUUGUUAAACUUAUAGUGGAUACAUAGCCUAUACCUUUAACCACCACACAGAAACAACUAUAGCUUUGGGGUAACCGAGGGAGUGCUAUCAACCUCCUUUAAUUCGUCCCUGGGGAGUCUGACAAGGCCUCUGCAUCGUGAAAAACAUGCAUGAAACUCCUAACCUCCUUUGUGUCCUUUGGAAGUAUAUGCUGUGAGGGCCGAAAACGUCUGAAAACACUGGUCAUUGUGAGGCAGUAACAAACACCUCUUAUGGAACACUGGCGGAUACAAAAUACAAAAGCAGCAGGUGGUAGUAGACUUUAUUCAUCUAAGGUUAGGUUAGGUCUGGUUAGGCUAGUUUAGGUAAGGUUAGGUUAGGUCUGGUUAGGCUAGUUUAGGUAAGGUUAGGUUAGGUCUGGUUAGGCUAGUUUAGGUAAGGUUGGGUUAGGUCUGGUUAGGCUAGUUUAGGUUAGGUCUGGUUAGGCUAGUUUAGGUAAGGUUAGGUUAGGUCUGGUUAGGCUAGUUUAGGUAAGGUUAGGUUAGGUCUGGUUAGGCUAGUUUAGGUAAGGUUAGGUUUGGUCUGGAUAGGCUAGUUUAGGU